UGGCUCAGAGGGUAGAGCUUCGGACUUCUGAUCCAAAGAUCGUGGGUUCGAGCCCUAC
Molecule: transfer RNA, 58 nt
Organism: Trichomalopsis sarcophagae
Lineage: Eukaryota; Metazoa; Arthropoda; Insecta; Hymenoptera; Pteromalidae
Rfam family: tRNA
About the family: Transfer RNA (tRNA) molecules are approximately 80 nucleotides in length. Their secondary structure includes four short double-helical elements and three loops (D, anti-codon, and T loops).
Source: Rfam